Molecule: ribosomal RNA, 245 nt
Filed under: uncultured archaeon
Lineage: Archaea
Description: partial 16S ribosomal RNA
Rfam family: Archaeal small subunit ribosomal RNA
Source: RNAcentral
UCCCGGCGGUCCAAGUCGCAUCCACAAUUAUUGGGUCUAAAACAUCCGUAGCUUGCUUUGUAAGUCUCUUGUGAAAUCUCAAAUCUCAAGUUUGAGGCGUGCAAGAGAUACUACAUCGCUUGGAGAUCGGAAGACGUAAAGAGUACGAAGGAGGUAGUGGUAAAAUAUGUUAAUCUUCUUCGGACUAACAGUGGCGAAGGCGCUUUACGAGUACGAAUCUGACAGUGAGGGAUGAAGGCUAGGGG